RNAcentral lists this ribosomal RNA (305 nucleotides) under uncultured bacterium. RNAcentral's name for it is "partial 16S ribosomal RNA". It matches the Rfam family "Bacterial small subunit ribosomal RNA", at positions 333 to 638 of the family's 1533-position model. The record is from RNAcentral.
AGUUGCCUACGGGGGGCAGCAGUGGGGAAUAUUGCACAAUGGGGGAAACCCUGAUGCAGCGACGCCGCGUGAGUGAAGAAGUAUUUCGGUACGUAAAGCUCUAUCAGCAGGGAAGAAAAAAAGUCCUUUGGACUUUGGACGGUACCUGACCAAGAAGCCCCGGCUAACUACGUGCCAGCAGCCGCGGUAAUACGUAGGGGGCAAGCGUUAUCCGGAUUUACUGGGUGUAAAGGGAGCGUAGACGGCACUGCAAGUCCGGAGUGAAAGCCCAAGGCUUAACCAUGGGACUGCUCUGGAAACUGUGG